This 450-nucleotide ribosomal RNA is filed under the name uncultured bacterium. Its description in RNAcentral is "partial 16S ribosomal RNA". It matches the Rfam family "Bacterial small subunit ribosomal RNA", at positions 354 to 796 of the family's 1533-position model. The record is from RNAcentral.
GUGGGGAAUAUUGGACAAUGGGCGCAAGCCUGAUCCAGCCAUGCCGCGUGUGUGAAGAAGGCCUUCGGGUUGUGAAGCACUUUUGUCCGGGAAGAAAUCUUCCAAGUUAAUACCCUGGGAGGCUGACGGUACCGGAAGAAUAAGCACCGGCUAACUUCGUGCCAGCAGCCGCGGUAAUACGAAGGGUGCAAGCGUUACUCGGAAUUACUGGGCGUAAAGCGUGCGUAGGUGGUUCGUUAAGUCUGCCGUGAAAGCCCCGGGCUCAACCUGGGAAUGGCGGUGGAUACUGGCGGGCUAGAGUGCGGUAGAGGGUGGUGGAAUUCCCGGUGUAGCAGUGAAAUGCGUAGAGAUCGGGAGGAACAUCUGUGGCGAAGGCGGCCACCUGGACCAACACUGACACUGAGGCACGAAAGCGUGGGGAGCAAACAGGAUUAGAAACCCGGGUAGUCC